This 293-nucleotide ribosomal RNA is filed under the name uncultured bacterium. Its description in RNAcentral is "partial 16S ribosomal RNA". The record is from RNAcentral.
GGACUACAAGGGUUUCUAAUCCCGUUUGCUCCCCACGCUUUCGUGCCUUAGUGUCAGGAACGAGCCAGUAGACUGCCUACGCCAUCGGUGUUCCUCCCAAUAUCUACGGAUUUCACUCCUACACUGGGAAUUCCAUCUACCUCUCUCGUCCUCUAGCUGAGCAGUUUAGAUAAUGGAUGUAUGGUUGAGCCACACGCUUUCACUAUCUACUUACUCUGCCACCUACGCAACUCUUUACGCCCAGUAAUUCCGGAUAACGCUUGGAUCCUCCGUAUUACCGCGGCUGCUGGCAC